RNAcentral lists this non-coding RNA (238 nucleotides) under Coprobacillus sp. RNAcentral's name for it is "T-box sequence". It matches the Rfam family "T-box leader". Rfam says of the family: Uncharged tRNA acts as the effector for transcription antitermination of genes in the T-box leader family. T-boxes are found upstream of many aminoacyl-tRNA synthetase genes and some amino acid biosynthetic genes usually in Gram-positive bacteria. The anticodon of a specific tRNA base pairs to a specifier sequence within the T-box motif, and the NCCA acceptor tail of the tRNA base pairs to a conserved bulge in the T-box antiterminator hairpin. Lineage: Bacteria; Bacillati; Bacillota; Erysipelotrichia; Erysipelotrichales; Coprobacillaceae. The record is from RNAcentral.
AAAAAGACAUUGAAAAGGAAAGUAAUUUAUCGAAAAUGCCUAGAGAGUUCUUGGUUGGUGGAAAAGAAACAUGGAAGAUAAACGAAAAUGGCCUUGGAGUUGCAUACCGACCCAAGAUCUUGGUUAGGCUAUGACGGAUUCACCCGUUAAAGUGAUAGAGUAUGAUGGUACUCGAUGAGGAAAUAAUCGUGAGGUUAUUUUAAAUUAAGGUGGUAACGCGAGGUAACUCGUCCUUUGU